RNAcentral lists this ribosomal RNA (456 nucleotides) under Bacillus amyloliquefaciens. Its description in RNAcentral is "bacterial SSU rRNA". It matches the Rfam family "Bacterial small subunit ribosomal RNA", at positions 395 to 841 of the family's 1533-position model. The record is from RNAcentral. Lineage: Bacteria; Bacillati; Bacillota; Bacilli; Caryophanales; Bacillaceae.
CGCCGCGUGAGUGAUGAAGGUUUUCGGAUCGUAAAGCUCUGUUGUUAGGGAAGAACAAGUGCCGUUCAAAUAGGGCGGCACCUUGACGGUACCUAACCAGAAAGCCACGGCUAACUACGUGCCAGCAGCCGCGGUAAUACGUAGGUGGCAAGCGUUGUCCGGAAUUAUUGGGCGUAAAGGGCUCGCAGGCGGUUUCUUAAGUCUGAUGUGAAAGCCCCCGGCUCAACCGGGGAGGGUCAUUGGAAACUGGGGAACUUGAGUGCAGAAGAGGAGAGUGGAAUUCCACGUGUAGCGGUGAAAUGCGUAGAGAUGUGGAGGAACACCAGUGGCGAAGGCGACUCUCUGGUCUGUAACUGACGCUGAGGAGCGAAAGCGUGGGGAGCGAACAGGAUUAGAUACCCUGGUAGUCCACGCCGUAAACGAUGAGUGCUAAGUGUUAGGGGGUUUCCGCCCCUU